RNAcentral lists this long non-coding RNA (327 nucleotides) under Marmota monax (woodchuck). The record is from RNAcentral. Lineage: Eukaryota; Metazoa; Chordata; Mammalia; Rodentia; Sciuridae.
CUUUACAUUUUCUUUUUUUUAAUUUCCCUUCUCAGGACUUAAAAUCUCCAAAUCAGAGGGAUGAAAUUGCAGGGGCACGAGCCACACUGAAGGAGAACUCCCCCCUCUUGCAUUCCAUUUGCUCAGCUUGUUUGGAACAUUCUGAUGUUGCUUCCCUCAAAGCCAGUAAGGAUACAGUUUGUGAAGAAAUUCAGAAUGCCCUCAAUGUAAUUUCAAAUGCUUCCCAAGGCAUCCAGAAUAUGCCGGCCCCAUUGGAACCACAAGCAGAAACCCUGGGAAGUGCACUCGAUGAGCUGGAGGUAUGUUGAGAGAGAGGUAAAGUGUGAU